UGAAUACGAGAUGCUACGGCGUCGAAGCAGUCUAUGUCAUACUUCCAAGAAAAGCUUGCACUGUCAUAAACAAAUAAUGCCUGUACCAUAACCGACACAGGUGGGUAGGUAGAGUAUACUAAGGGGCGCGAGAUAACUCUCUCUAAGGAACUCGGCAAAAUGACUCCGUAACUUCGGGAGAAGGAGUGCCUUAUUUAUAAGGUUGCAAUAACAAGAUCCAAGCAACUGUUUACCAAAAACACAGGUCUCCGCUAAGUCGUAAGACGAUGUAUGGGGGCUGACGCCUGCCCAGUGCCAGAAGGUUAAAGAAGUUGGUUAGCAUCCGCGAAGCUGAUAACUGAAGCCCUGGUGAACGGCGGCCGUAACAAUAACGGUCCUAAGGUAGCGAAAUUCCUUGUCGGGUAAGUUCCGACCCGCACGAAAGGCGUAAUGAUUUGGAUACUGUCUCGGAGAGGGGCUCGGUGAAAUAGACUUGUCUGUGAAGAUGCGGACUACCUGCACCAGGACAGAAAGACCCUAUGAAGCUUUACUGUAACCUGAAAUUGAAAUUGGACUUUACUUGCGCAGUAUAGGUGGGAGGCGUUGAGAAUAUUCUUGCGGGAUUAUUGGAGCCAUCAGUGAGAUACCACUCUUGUAAUGUUAGAUUUCUAACUUUGUAUCAUUAUCUGGUCAAAGAACAGUUUCAGGCGGGCAGUUUGACUGGGGCGGUCGCCUCCUAAACGGUAACGGAGGCGCACAAAGGUUUCCUCUGAACGGGUAGAAAUCGUAUCUAGAGUGUAAAGGCAUAAGGAAGCUUGACUGUGAGACCUACAAGUCGAGCAGGGACGAAAGUCGGUCUUAGUGUUCUGACGGUGCUGAGUGGAAAGGCCGUCACUCAACGGAUAAAAGUUACUCUAGGAUAACAGGCUGAUCUCCCCCAAGAGUUCACAUCGACGGGGAGGUUGGCACCUCGAUGUCGGCUCAUCGCAUCCUGGGGCGGUAGUACGUCCCAAGGGUUGGGCUGUUCGCCCAUGAAAGCGGUACGCGAGCUGGGUUCAGAACGUCGUGAGACAGUUCGGUCCAUAUCCGGUGUAGGCGUUAGAAUAUUGAGAGGAGCCUUCUUUAGUACGAGAGGACCGAGAAGGACAUACCUCUGGUGUACCAGUUAUCGUGCCAACGGUAAACGCUGGGUAGCUAUGUGUGGAGUGGAUAACCGCUGAAAGCAUCUAAGUGGGAAGCCCACCUCAAGAUAAGUAUUCUC
Molecule: ribosomal RNA, 1240 nt
Filed under: metagenome
Description: bacterial LSU rRNA
Rfam family: Bacterial large subunit ribosomal RNA
Source: RNAcentral